GCAGGGGGCAAGCGUUGUCCGGAAUUAUUGGGCGUAAAGCGCGCGCAGGCGGUCAUGUAAGUCUGGUGUUUAAUCCCGGGGCUCAACCCCGGAUCGCACUGGAAACUGCGUGACUUGAGUGCAGAAGAGGAGAGUGGAAUUCCACGUGUAGCGGUGAAAUGCGUAGAGAUGUGGAGGAACACCAGUGGCGAAGGCGACUCUCUGGGCUGUAACUGACGCUGAGGCGCGAAAGCGUGGGGGGAGCAAACAGGAUUAGAUACCCUGGUAGUCCACGCCGUAAACGAUGAGUGCUAGGUGUUAGGGGGUUUCGAUACCCUUGGUGCCGAAGUUAACACAUUAAGCACUCCGCCUGGGAGUACAGUCGCAAGACUG
RNAcentral lists this ribosomal RNA (372 nucleotides) under uncultured organism. Its description in RNAcentral is "partial 16S ribosomal RNA". It matches the Rfam family "Bacterial small subunit ribosomal RNA", at positions 527 to 896 of the family's 1533-position model. The record is from RNAcentral.